Molecule: long non-coding RNA, 465 nt
Organism: Passer domesticus (house sparrow)
Lineage: Eukaryota; Metazoa; Chordata; Aves; Passeriformes; Passeridae
Exons: 3
Source: RefSeq, a predicted model, not a curated record
UCUCCUGGCCCCACUCACACCUCAUCAGCCACUCUUCUCCAGCAGUCUCUGCCCUGAGCUUUGCUUCCACAGAUGAAUCUGAAUGAAGCAUGGGGAGAAAAUACCACAUGCACAAAAUGGUAACAGCAUAGAAAUAACUAGCUGGGGAAGAUAUGAUUCAGACCUGUGAGAAGUAAACUCAGGAAUUUAAAGGUAAUUUCCCGGGCUGGGAGAGAACAAGGCAAGGCAGGACGGGAUACGUCUGGACUCUCCCUUCUUUCAGAGGAGAUGGGUGUUCUUUUCUGGUUGGGAAAAACAUGCUGGAAGGAGCAGUGAGGUGGCACCAUCUGCGGUUACAUUGCAUUGUGAAAGACUUGGUGAGCAUUUUGCUCAUAAAUCUCUCUCUUUUGCACAUUUCUGUUAUUAAUAUUGUUUCUGUUACUACUCCUUUUUCUUAUCUCAAUGCUGUUCCAAGUGAAUUAUUUU